UUAGAGUUUUGAUCCUGGCUCAGGAUGAACGCUGGCGGCGUGCCUAAUACAUGCAAGUAGAACGCUGAAGGAGGAGCUUGCUUCUCUGGAUGAGUUGCGAACGGGUGAGUAACGCGUAGGUAACCUGCCUGGUAGCGGGGGAUAACUAUUGGAAACGAUAGCUAAUACCGCAUAAGAGCAGUUGUUGCAUGACAGCUGUUUAAAAGGUGCAAUUGCACCACUACCAGAUGGACCUGCGUUGUAUUAGCUAGUUGGUGAGGUAACGGCUCACCAAGGCGACGAUACAUAGCCGACCUGAGAGGGUGAUCGGCCACACUGGGACUGAGACACGGCCCAGACUCCUACGGGAGGCAGCAGUAGGGAAUCUUCGGCAAUGGGGGCAACCCUGACCGAGCAACGCCGCGUGAGUGAAGAAGGUUUUCGGAUCGUAAAGCUCUGUUGUAAGAGAAGAACGAGUGUGAGACGUGGAAAGUUC
This 475-nucleotide ribosomal RNA is filed under the name Streptococcus peroris. RNAcentral describes it as "bacterial SSU rRNA". It matches the Rfam family "Bacterial small subunit ribosomal RNA", at positions 1 to 465 of the family's 1533-position model. The record is from RNAcentral. Lineage: Bacteria; Bacillati; Bacillota; Bacilli; Lactobacillales; Streptococcaceae.